UAUUUUUAGGCCCUGGGAGAGUCCGCUGUAAAGGUCCCGCGCAGCGGAGGGGCCGCAGACGUGGCACCGCGGCUCGGCAGCCCGCGCGCAGCAUCCUCCCAGCCACUUCCUUGAAUUGUGACCUUCCAAAUGAAGAGCAAGAUGGGGUGAGAACAAGCAGUGUCUUGGAGAAAUCCAGUCCUAACAUCUGAGGAAUGGAAUUAAUAGGAAACAUCAAUAACUCUGGUCUCUUAAAUUGGUCAGAAUAUUGGCCUGAAAUUAGGAAAAGUUAUAAUCCUAAAACAUGGCCUUACUACAUUUGAACCUAGGUUCUGGAUUUUUUUAAUUUAAUAAAUAAUAAAAAUAUUAGCAUGUUUUGUA
Molecule: long non-coding RNA, 360 nt
Organism: Rhea pennata
Lineage: Eukaryota; Metazoa; Chordata; Aves; Rheiformes; Rheidae
Exons: 2
Source: RefSeq, a predicted model, not a curated record